GACGAACGCUGGCGGCGUGCUUAACACAUGCAAGUCGAACGGAAAGGCCCUGCUUGCAGGGUACUCGAGUGGCGAACGGGUGAGUAACACGUGGGUGAUCUGCCCUGCACUUCGGGAUAAGCCUGGGAAACUGGGUCUAAUACCGGAUAGGAGCCAUUUUUAGUGUGAUGGUUGGAAAGUUUUUUCGGUGUAGGAUGAGCUCGCGGCCUAUCAGCUUGUUGGUGGGGUAAUGGCCUACCAAGGCGGCGACGGGUAGCCGGCCUGAGAGGGUGGACGGCCACAUUGGGACUGAGAUACGGCCCAGACUCCUACGGGAGGCAGCAGUGGGGAAUAUUGCACAAUGGGCGCAAGCCUGAUGCAGCGACGCCGCGUGGGGGAUGACGGCCUUCGGGUUAUAAACUCCUUUCGCUAGGGACGAAGCUUUUUGUGACGGUACCUAGAUAAGAAGCACCGGCUAACUACGUG
Molecule: ribosomal RNA, 465 nt
Filed under: uncultured bacterium
Lineage: Bacteria
Description: partial 16S ribosomal RNA
Rfam family: Bacterial small subunit ribosomal RNA
Source: RNAcentral